UCCCUUGUAGCUACGAGGUUAAAGUGUCUGCCUCUAAUGCAGGAGGCCUGGGUUCGAUUCCUGGGUCGGGAA
Molecule: transfer RNA, 72 nt
Filed under: Ovis aries (sheep)
Lineage: Eukaryota; Metazoa; Chordata; Mammalia; Artiodactyla; Bovidae
Rfam family: tRNA
About the family: Transfer RNA (tRNA) molecules are approximately 80 nucleotides in length.
Source: Rfam by way of RNAcentral